RNAcentral lists this ribosomal RNA (492 nucleotides) under uncultured bacterium. RNAcentral describes it as "partial 16S ribosomal RNA". It matches the Rfam family "Bacterial small subunit ribosomal RNA", at positions 29 to 507 of the family's 1533-position model. The record is from RNAcentral.
AGUGAACGCUGGCGGUAGGCCUAACACAUGCAAGUCGAACGGCAGCACAGUAAGAGCUUGCUCUUACGGGUGGCGAGUGGCGGACGGGUGAGGAAUACAUCGGAAUCUACUUUUUCGUGGGUGAUAACGUAGGGAAACUUACGCUAAUACCGCAUACGACCUACGGGUGAAAGCAGUGGAUCUUCGGACCUUGCGCGAUUGAAUGAGCCGAUGUCGGAUUAGCUAGUUGGCGGGGUAAAGGCCCACCAAGGCGACGAUCCGUAGCUGGUCUGAGAGGAUGAUCAGCCACACUGGAACUGAGACACGGUCCAGACUCCUACGGGAGGCAGCAGUGGGGAAUAUUGGACAAUGGGCGCAAGCCUGAUCCAGCCAUACCGCGUGGGUGAAGAAGGCCUUCGGGUUGUAAAGCCCUGUUGUUGGGAAAGAAAAGCAGCAGGUUAAUACCCCGCUGUUCUGACGGUACCCAAAGAAUAAGCACCGGCUAACUUCGUG